Molecule: ribosomal RNA, 496 nt
Filed under: uncultured bacterium
Lineage: Bacteria
Description: partial 16S ribosomal RNA
Rfam family: Bacterial small subunit ribosomal RNA
Source: RNAcentral
AUGCACGCUGGCGGAGUGCCUCAUACAUGCAAGUCGAGCGAACGGACGAGAAGCUUGCUUCUCUGAUGUUAGCGGCGGACGGGUGAGUAACACGUGGAUAACCUACCUAUAAGACUGGGAUAACUUCAGGAAACCGGAGCUAAUACCGGAUAAUAUUUUGAACCGCAUGGUUCAAAAGUGAAAGACGGUCUUGCUGUCACUUAUAGAUGGAUCCGCGCUGCAUUAGCUAGUUGGUAAGGUAACGGCUUACCAAGGCAACGAUGCAUAGCCGACCUGAGAGGGUGAUCGGCCACACUGGAACUGAGACACGGUCCAGACUCCUACGGGAGGCAGCAGUAGGGAAUCUUCCGCAAUGGGCGAAAGCCUGACGGAGCAACGCCGCGUGAGUGAUGAAGGUCUUCGGAUCGUAAAACUCUGUUAUUAGGGAAGAACAUAUGUGUAAGUAACUGUGCACAUCUUGACGGUACCUAAUCAGAAAGCCACGGCUAACUACGUG